This 253-nucleotide ribosomal RNA is filed under the name uncultured bacterium. RNAcentral's name for it is "partial 16S ribosomal RNA". It matches the Rfam family "Bacterial small subunit ribosomal RNA", at positions 524 to 776 of the family's 1533-position model. The record is from RNAcentral.
UACAGAGGUGGCAAGCGUUGUUCGGAAUUACUGGGCGUAAAGGGCGCGUAGGCGGUCUUCUAAGUCUUGUGUGAAAUCCCUCGGCUCAACUGAGGAACUGCACGGGAUACUGGAAGACUUGAGUUCGGGAGAGGGAAGCGGAAUUCCGGGUGUAGCGGUGAAAUGCGUAGAUAUCCGGAGGAACACCGGUGGCGAAGGCGGGUCUCUGGGCCGAUACUGACGCUGAGGAGCGAAAGCGUGGGGAGCAAACAGG